AGUGAACGCUGGCGGUAGACCUAACACAUGCAAGUCGAACGGCAGCACAGUAAGAGCUUGCUCUUACGGGUGGCGAGUGGCGGACGGGUGAGGAAUACAUCGGAAUCUACUUUUUCGUGGGGGAUAACGUAGGGAAACUUACGCUAAUACCGCAUACGACCUACGGGUGAAAGCAGGGGAUCUUCGGACCUUGCGCGAUUGAAUGAGCCGAUGUCGGAUUAGCUAGUUGGCGGGGUAAAGGCCCACCAAGGCGACGAUCCGUAGCUGGUCUGAGAGGAUGAUCAGCCACACUGGAACUGAGACACGGUCCAGACUCCUACGGGAGGCAGCAGUGGGGAAUAUUAGACAAAGGGCGCAAGCCUGAUCCAGCCAUACCGCGUGAGUGAAGAAGGCCUUCGCGUUGUAAAGCCCUUUUGUUGGGAAAGAAAAGCAGCAGGUUAAUACCCAGCUGUUCUGACGGUACCCAAAGAAUAAGCACCGGCUAACUUCGUG
RNAcentral lists this ribosomal RNA (492 nucleotides) under uncultured bacterium. Its description in RNAcentral is "partial 16S ribosomal RNA". It matches the Rfam family "Bacterial small subunit ribosomal RNA", at positions 29 to 507 of the family's 1533-position model. The record is from RNAcentral.